Molecule: ribosomal RNA, 253 nt
Filed under: uncultured bacterium
Lineage: Bacteria
Description: partial 16S ribosomal RNA
Rfam family: Bacterial small subunit ribosomal RNA
Source: RNAcentral
GACAGAGGGUGCAAACGUUGUUCGGAUUUACUGGGCGUAAAGCGUGUGUAGGCGGCUUGGCAAGUUGGAUGUGAAAGCCCACGGCUCAACCGUGGAAGCGCACCCAAAACUGCUUCGCUCGAGUCUCGGAGAGGAAGGUGGAAUGCUUGGUGUAGAGGUGAAAUUCGUAGAUAUCGGGAGGAACACCAGUGGCGAAGGCGACUACCUGGCCUGUUCUUGACGCUGAGGCGCGAAAGCUAGGGGAGCAAACGGG